Molecule: ribosomal RNA, 459 nt
Filed under: uncultured bacterium
Lineage: Bacteria
Description: partial 16S ribosomal RNA
Rfam family: Bacterial small subunit ribosomal RNA
Source: RNAcentral
CCUACGGGAGGCUGCAGUGAGGAAUAUUGGUCAAUGGGAGAGAUCCUGAACCAGCCAAGCCGCGUGAGGGAAGACGGCCCUAUGGGUUGUCAACCUCUUUUGUCGGAGAACAAAACCCGGGACGUGUCCCGGACUGCGUGUAUCCGAAGAAAAAGCAUCGGCUACCUCCGUGCCAGCAGCCGCGGUAAUACGGAGGAUGCGAGCGUUAUCCGGAUUUAUUGGGGUUAAAGGGUGCGUAGGCGGUCCGUUAAGUCAGCGGGAAAAUUGCGGGGCUCAACCCCGUCGAGCCGUUGAAACUGGCAGACUUGAGUUGGCGAGAAGUACGCGGAAUGCGCGGUGUAGCGGUGAAAUGCAUAGAUAGCGCGCAGAACUCCGAUUGCGAAGGCAGCGUACCGGCGCCAGACUGACGCUGAGGCACGAAAGCGUGGGGAUCGAACAGGAUUAGAUACCCUUGUAGUC